RNAcentral lists this ribosomal RNA (276 nucleotides) under Gammaproteobacteria bacterium. RNAcentral describes it as "partial 23S ribosomal RNA". It matches the Rfam family "Bacterial large subunit ribosomal RNA", at positions 2675 to 2925 of the family's 2925-position model. Lineage: Bacteria; Pseudomonadati; Pseudomonadota; Gammaproteobacteria. The record is from RNAcentral.
CUCCUAGUACGAGAGGACCGGAGUGGACGUACCUCUGGUGUUCCGGUUGUCACGCCAGUGGCACAGCCGGGUAGCUAUGUACGGACGGGAUAACCGCUGAAAGCAUCUAAGCGGGAAGCCUCCCUCAAGAUUAGGUCUCCCUGGGAACUUGAUUCCCCUGAAGGGCCGUUGAAGACGACAACGUUGAUAGGCUGGGUGUGGAAGUGCAGUAAUGUAUGAAGCUAACCAGUACUAAUUGCCCGUGAGGCUUGACCAUAUAACACCCAAGUGGUUUGG